This 1036-nucleotide ribosomal RNA is filed under the name Tolypocladium sp. RG-2013a. RNAcentral's name for it is "SSU rRNA". It matches the Rfam family "Eukaryotic small subunit ribosomal RNA", at positions 58 to 1106 of the family's 1831-position model. The record is from RNAcentral. Lineage: Eukaryota; Fungi; Ascomycota; Sordariomycetes; Hypocreales; Ophiocordycipitaceae.
UCUAAGUAUAAGCAAUUAUACAGCGAAACUGCGAAUGGCUCAUUAUAUAAGUUAUCGUUUAUUUGAUAGUACCUUACUACUUGGAUAACCGUGGUAAUUCUAGAGCUAAUACAUGCUAAAAAUCCCGACUUCGGAAGGGAUGUAUUUAUUAGAUUAAAAACCAAUGCCCUCUGGGCUCUCUGGUGAUUCAUGAUAACUUCUCGAAUCGCAUGGCCUUGCGCCGGCGAUGGUUCAUUCAAAUUUCUUCCCUAUCAACUUUCGAUGUUUGGGUAGUGGCCAAACAUGGUUGCAACGGGUAACGGAGGGUUAGGGCUCGACCCCGGAGAAGGAGCCUGAGAAACGGCUACUACAUCCAAGGAAGGCAGCAGGCGCGCAAAUUACCCAAUCCCGACACGGGGAGGUAGUGACAAUAAAUACUGAUACAGGGCUCUUUUGGGUCUUGUAAUUGGAAUGAGUACAAUUUAAAUCCCUUAACGAGGAACAAUUGGAGGGCAAGUCUGGUGCCAGCAGCCGCGGUAAUUCCAGCUCCAAUAGCGUAUAUUAAAGUUGUUGUGGUUAAAAAGCUCGUAGUUGAACCUUGGGCCUGGCUGGCCGGUCCGCCUCACCGCGUGUACUGGUCCGGCCGGGCCUUUCCCUCUGUGGAACCCCAUGCCCUUCACUGGGUGUGGCGGGGAAACAGGACUUUUACUUUGAAAAAAUUAGAGUGCUCCAGGCAGGCCUAUGCUCGAAUACAUUAGCAUGGAAUAAUGAAAUAGGACGUGCGGUUCUAUUUUGUUGGUUUCUAGGACCGCCGUAAUGAUUAAUAGGGACAGUCGGGGGCAUCAGUAUUCAAUUGUCAGAGGUGAAAUUCUUGGAUUUAUUGAAGACUAACUACUGCGAAAGCAUUUGCCAAGGAUGUUUUCAUUAAUCAGGAACGAAAGUUAGGGGAUCGAAGACGAUCAGAUACCGUCGUAGUCUUAACCAUAAACUAUGCCGACUAGGGAUCGGACGAUGUUAUUUUUUGACUCGUUCGGCACCUUACGAGAAAUCAAAGUGC